RNAcentral lists this small nucleolar RNA (73 nucleotides) under Trypanosoma cruzi. RNAcentral's name for it is "HACA small nucleolar RNA (snoRNA)". It matches the Rfam family "Trypanosomatid snoRNA TB10Cs1H1". The record is from RNAcentral. Lineage: Eukaryota; Euglenozoa; Kinetoplastea; Trypanosomatida; Trypanosomatidae.
CAUCCCCUUUAAUAGCGAGCGGACCCUCCGUGCGUCACCGCGCCGCCGCUCGCCCACACCGGGGGGAGAGAGA